UGUAUAGUAUUUCCAUGAAAUUAAAUAAAAAUUCUCAUCUGUUCCAGACAGGUGAUGCCACGCCCAGUCCCUGGUGAACCCGCCUCCGCAGCAGGUCUCCUUGUCUCACUCACUGCUGGGCCACAUCUUUAGUGGGCCCCACAUCAUUUCACAAGAACCCCAGGUGCGGUGCAUCUGCGCCACCCUCGCCCUAAAAUCCCGCUGAACCGUUUUGCCUCUCAUAGGGCAUGCUCACUCCUUUUCUCCCCCUACCACUCGCCCUCAACCCCGGACUCUCGCUCCAUCUCGGCACCUUGCAAGCGCCGCGGAGCAGCCCUUCUUCCCUUCAGAGCCUCGAUAACUGGCACUCUCAGCGCACGCACAAAGCCACAACUGCCUCCCCCGCCCCGACCACCCACGUCAGAACGCACAGCGCAAGCUGCAACCUCCGCUGCGACCCCUCAGGCACCCCAAGAAGCCACGAUCGCGGGGAUUCCGGUUGCUGCCUAGGCUCCAGAACCUUCCCCUUUGCCUCCAGUAUCGGCGGAGGGGGCCAGAAAGAAAAAGAAAACUACGAGAUAGCCGUCGCGGCCCUGAUGACGUCACGCCCACGGACGUGAUGACGCGCUACGCCGCCGGUUGGACGGAGCCCCGCGUCCAGAGCGCCCGUUUUGAAGUGGCCGGCCCGGCCCCUGGGUCCUUUGUGAGGCGAGAACGGUGGAAGCCGCCACGCCCCUGCGCCGCGCGCUCCAGCCCGUUCUGAGGAUGAAGGUGGAGCUCUUUCUGCGGUUGCUGAGAGCGGCGCGCAGCGCGUGUUCCACGAGUGCCUGCGCGCGGCCCAGGCCCCUAGUGUCGCUGUCCACGUGGCCGUCUCCGCGGACGCCGGGAUGCCAGCACCCGCCCCGGGCGGACCCGGACCUCCGGACGCCCAUGCUGCCGCCCAACCCCGGGGCGGAUUCCCCGGCCGUGGCGCCCACUGACCCGCGGGGCCCAGAGGCGGGAGAUGCAGGGCGGAGGUGUAGACCUGACCAGAGCCACAGGGACCCCUGGGACUCCCUGCAGGCAAGAUCCCAGCCUUCUGCUUCCUGUGGGGCCACCUGGUGGAUGCCUUGAGUGUGGACAUGGCCAUUGGCACCUUGGAGAUGGUGUUUGCCAGGCUCCCACUGCAGUGUGCCUGCCAGGGGCACAGGGGCAAUGUGGCCAAGGUCUGCGGCUGCCCCUUAGACUGGAAAGGACUCCUGUUCCACUGGGCUGGGAGCUGGCACAGAGGAUCUGUAUUCUGUACUGCUUCAUGGCCAUGUGGUGCAGAAUCCUCCGCAACUGCCAGGACGACAGGGCAGGUUCCUGUAAUUGCUUGCUGAACCUCGGCGUGACUUCCUAG
This 1360-nucleotide long non-coding RNA is filed under the name Oryctolagus cuniculus (rabbit). Its description in RNAcentral is "lncRNA (ENSOCUG00000032230.1)". Lineage: Eukaryota; Metazoa; Chordata; Mammalia; Lagomorpha; Leporidae. The record is from RNAcentral.